UUUGUUGUGUAUGUGAUUUUCAGGUACAAGCCGCGGCAGACAAGGCGAGCUUGCGGCGUUUGGACGCGAAGAGCAAAGCAACAUCGGACGAAAUGUGCAAAAGCUAGCGGUAGUUGAUAUCGGCGAAUCAAAGCAUCCUGCCAGGUUUUUUCAUUGGGAGUUGGUACCUCCCAGCCUCCUUUUUUGACUCUGUACACCCUUUUAUGUUUUCUAUCUAAGCACCAUGUAUGUGGUUUACUUUGUCAAUUCCUAGC
RNAcentral lists this long non-coding RNA (254 nucleotides) under Nicotiana benthamiana. RNAcentral's name for it is "long non-coding RNA (NBEN_LNC027906)". Lineage: Eukaryota; Viridiplantae; Streptophyta; Magnoliopsida; Solanales; Solanaceae. The record is from RNAcentral.